Mesocricetus auratus (golden hamster) is the source of this 74-nucleotide non-coding RNA. Lineage: Eukaryota; Metazoa; Chordata; Mammalia; Rodentia; Cricetidae. The record is from Rfam.
UCAGCACAUAUCAGUAAUGCUGCAGAUUCCUGCUUGUGUUGUGAGAAAGUCAGCCUUGGAGAGUUGGGUAUUAA